This 1664-nucleotide long non-coding RNA is filed under the name Bemisia tabaci. RNAcentral's name for it is "lncRNA ENSASIAIIG012156". Lineage: Eukaryota; Metazoa; Arthropoda; Insecta; Hemiptera; Aleyrodidae. The record is from RNAcentral.
AUGACCAUGACCGUGCCCAUAACCAAAGCCCCCACCAUUUCCACCAAAUCCACCUUGGUUGCCACCUCCACCGAAACCACCCUGAUUCCCUGCGCCGCCACCAAAACCGCCGUGACUUCCGCCAUUGCCACCAAAGCUGCCAUGAUUUCCACUAUUGCCGCCAAAGCUACCAUGGCCUCCGGCACUUCCUCCGAAGCUUCCAUGACUUCCAGCGCCUCCUCCGAAGCCUCCAUGACUUCCAGCACCUCCUCCGAAGCUCCCAUGACCUCCAACUUGAUUGCCACCACCGGUGCCUCCCCCGUAGCUCCCACCACUCUCUCCGCCGAGACCGCUAGCACUGGAGCUACUGCUUCCACCGAGUGAAUUAGUUUCUAGAUUCCCGGCACCUUCACCGCCUCCGCCGGUUCCAUAACUGGAACCUGAAUUACCGAAAUGGGUACUCGAGGCUCCGAAAUUGGAACUUGAUCCACCGAAAUUGGCACUAGAUCCACCAAAAUUUGAAUUCGACCCGGCGAGACCAGAACCGGACCCGUAACCGGAGCCACUCGAGCCGCCAGACCCAACCGUGUGCGGGUAUAAGCUACUGCCAAAAGAGCCUCCACCAUUCGAGUUGGACCCCCCGCUUGAGCCGGCAUACGAUCCCGAACCGGAGCUGAAGAAUUUAUUCGGUUUAUGGCUAGGCCGAAGGUUACUAACAAGGCUGCUGAAGGAUGGCCGGGGCCUGGAAAGCCCCGGUCGUCCUCCCAGGCUCGUGAAUGCGUUAUUUCCGUUGUUAUGUAGGUUCCCAAAUGCAUUGGAUGUCCACGCGCCGAUAGGUCCUCUUCUGGGAGAAUCCUUGAGAAGCUGCGAGUGGGCUUUAGCAGGUGCUUUAACUGGUAUCGGGAACUUGGCCCCUGUGUUAGCUGGCUUUUUGGAGGAAGAAAGGUAUUUUGAUGAGCUAGACUUUGUUUGAGGUGUAGCAGCAAGGCAAGUGGCCAUCGAGAGUGCCACCACCACCGUUAUCUGUUCAACAAACAAGACAUGCUAUAAUAAAUUGGGAAAAAGUUUACACUUAGUUUACAAAUAAGGAAAAGUUCGAUAAUUCCAAAAACGAUGGCAAUAAGGUUUCCGUUAAAGCUUGAGGCAAGGUAGCAGAGACAUUGGACCCAGGAGAGUACCUAUUCGUAGGGGCUCCGUGAAGUAGGUGUGCCAACAUUUAGAACAAAUUUAAGUAGGUACAACAAAAAAAAGUAGAAAUUUAAACAUUCUGAUAAAUGAUUCCUCUUGAAAACUUCACGAAAAAAAAAAAAAAAAACACGGAUCGCGCAACGAAUAUUACCUACUGAAAUUAACUCAUAACCAGAUAUUAAUGUUUUCAUUUGGCAAAGGUUACGAAAAAAUUGAUUUCCCGCUCGCAAGGGAAACCAGAGUCCGCGCGGAAUCACGUGCUACAACAGUUUUGGUAGGCUUUCUUGAUCGGUCAAUAUUCCUUAACCAUCCUAUUCUGUUCAACGCGCAACAGCUGAGCUUUUCCGAGAUUGAGAUUGCCAUAUUUUAAACCACAGAGUCUGUUAAGGGAAAGAUUUUAAUCUGGGCAAAUAGAGUGUACAGAGUAAAAAAUCGGGCGUAUUCUCGGGCGAACCGAGAAUGGAGAUGUUGAAUGUGUGAGGGAUUUGCGAUUUGAU